This 859-nucleotide long non-coding RNA is filed under the name Struthio camelus australis. Its description in RNAcentral is "lncRNA (ENSSCUG00000014147.1)". The record is from RNAcentral. Lineage: Eukaryota; Metazoa; Chordata; Aves; Struthioniformes; Struthionidae.
AUAAGAUUCCAGGUUUACUUUAUAUUUUGAAACAAAAUGGAAGACAUUGUUCCAGCCCUGGGAAAUCAACGGUCUGUAGAAAAGCCGCUCACCUCCUCCGUCUCAUCUGGCCGGGGCGGCCGCACUGCUGGCUGCAGCUCUUCCGCUCUGACCACGGAGGUGCCGGAGGAUGCCCGCUCACCAGCCCUCCAUCGAUAAGAUGAAGGGGCAUUUCUGCUUCUUUUUUUUGUUCUGUGGGAUAUUUUUGCCCAGAAUCCUUGGUUUCCCACAAACAAGUANNNNNNNNNNNNCAUACAUUAUUGCUGUAUCUUUUGAUAGCUUUGAACCAGGAAAUGAAAUCCAAGUGACUUUAGAAGCCCUUAAAGAGGCCAGCUUUAAAGGAUUUCAUCUACAAGCUCGAGAAGUGGAAGGAGAUGUUCCUGUUGGUACUUUUAAAAUUACAGAUCAAAACACAAAAGGCUUGGAUUGUCAUAACGUGACGAAUUCAGCUGUAAGUCAUGCAAAUUCAGAUGCGAAACAGAAAGUUACAACAACGUGGAUUGCACCACAUGAUAUUAGAGAUCUUCAGUUUAUCGCAACUGUUGUUCAAGAUCUAGAGAAAUUUUGGGUCGGAGUUCAAAGCAAAACCCUCACACCUACACAUUCUGAGUCAGUUAAUGGGACAGGAAGAAGUAAGAGGAAGAUUAUGAUAGAAAUAGAAUGUGCCAAGCGUGGAGGGACUUACACACCACAAAGUGGAUGCGUCCUAGUUGGACCCUCCGGUUCCUCUCGGAACAGCUAUACAAGUGGUCAGGUAAGAAUGCUAACUUCCAGCAUUUGUAAAUUUUCCUUUAGUAAACUUGAACAACUAAAAUUCUAU